Molecule: ribosomal RNA, 336 nt
Filed under: Triticum aestivum (bread wheat)
Lineage: Eukaryota; Viridiplantae; Streptophyta; Magnoliopsida; Poales; Poaceae
Description: partial small subunit ribosomal RNA
Source: RNAcentral
AUGAUUCUUUUUCAGUGUCAAUCAAUGGUUUCCUUAAUUGCAAGACAACGAAUCUCCGUGUUAUUGAUCUGGUACAGUGUUGUUGUGCGUGAGGACGACACAUGGAAAUGUGCAACAAGGCAGUGCUCGCAUUGCAGUGGACUGGAGUCCGCCAUCACCACCGACCAUUGCUCGCCGAUCAUCGUCCCUCAUCCCCCGUCUAGAUGUUUGCGGAUCAGGCGAAGAAGAGAGGAAGGAUCAAGGUUUAAGGUGUUUGCUAGAGAAAAUCAAAAGAAGCAACCUGAAUGUCAAUGGGGUGAUGGCAGUGACAUAUUUAACACGAGGUGUUGCAUCUAG